GCAGACACAUUCCAGCCAAUCAGCAGCAGACCCUCCCUCCCAGACCCUCCCACCUCCUGGACAGCAUCCUUUUUACAUUCAUUGUGAAGCUGCAUUCUUAGUGAGCUGUCCAGGAGGUGGGAGGGUCUGGGAGGGAGGGUCUGCUGCUGAUUGGCUGGAAUGUGUCUG
RNAcentral lists this microRNA precursor (168 nucleotides) under Pelobates cultripes (western spadefoot toad). The record is from RNAcentral. Lineage: Eukaryota; Metazoa; Chordata; Amphibia; Anura; Pelobatidae.